This 496-nucleotide ribosomal RNA is filed under the name uncultured bacterium. RNAcentral's name for it is "partial 16S ribosomal RNA". It matches the Rfam family "Bacterial small subunit ribosomal RNA", at positions 28 to 506 of the family's 1533-position model. The record is from RNAcentral.
GACGAACGCUGGCGGCGUGCCUAAUACAUGCAAGUUGAGCGAUGAAGAUUGGUGCUUGCACCAAUUUGAAGAGCAGCGAACGGGUGAGUAACGCGUGGGGAAUCUGCCUUUGAGCGGGGGACAACAUUUGGAAACGAAUGCUAAUACCGCAUAACAACUUUAAACAUAAGUUUUAAGUUUGAAAGAUGCAAUUGCAUCACUCAAAGAUGAUCCCGCGUUGUAUUAGCUAGUUGGUGAGGUAAAGGCUCACCAAGGCGAUGAUACAUAGCCGACCUGAGAGGGUGAUCGGCCACAUUGGGACUGAGACACGGCCCAAACUCCUACGGGAGGCAGCAGUAGGGAAUCUUCGGCAAUGGACGAAAGUCUGACCGAGCAACGCCGCGUGAGUGAAGAAGGUGUUCGGAUCGUAAAACUCUGUUGGUAGAGAAGAACGUUGGUGAGAGUGGAAAGCUCAUCAAGUGACGGUAACUACCCAGAAAGGGACGGCUAACUACGU